This 21-nucleotide unclassified non-coding RNA is filed under the name Chlamydomonas reinhardtii. RNAcentral describes it as "small RNA Cre_3025". Lineage: Eukaryota; Viridiplantae; Chlorophyta; Chlorophyceae; Chlamydomonadales; Chlamydomonadaceae. The record is from RNAcentral.
UGCAGGAGUCGCUUCUGGCGG